GACGAACGCUGGCGGCGUGCUUAACACAUGCAAGUCGAACGAUGAAGCCCAGCUUGCUGGGUGGAAGAGUGGCGAACGGGUGAGUAACACGUGAGUAACCUGCCCCUGACUCUGGGAUAAGCGCUAGAAAUGGCGUCUAAUACUGGAUAUGACCUAUCACCGCAUGGUGUGUAGGUGGAAAGAUUUAUCGGUUGGGGAUGGACUCGCGGCCUAUCAGCUUGUUGGUGAGGUAAUGGCUCACCAAGGCGACGACGGGUAGCCGGCCUGAGAGGGCGACCGGCCAAACUGGGACUGGGACACGGCCCAGACUCCUACGGGAGGCAGCAGUGGGGAAUAUUGCACUAUGGGCGCAAGCCUGAUGCAGCAACGCCGCGUGAGGGAUGACGGCCUUCGGGUUGUAAACCUCUUUUAGUAGGGAAGAAGCGCAAGUGACGGUACCUGCAGAAAAAGCACCGGCUAACUACGUGCCAGCAGCCGCCGUAA
This 483-nucleotide ribosomal RNA is filed under the name uncultured bacterium. RNAcentral describes it as "partial 16S ribosomal RNA". It matches the Rfam family "Bacterial small subunit ribosomal RNA", at positions 28 to 523 of the family's 1533-position model. The record is from RNAcentral.